UACGAAGGGGGCUAGCGUUGCUCGGAAUGACUGGGCGUAAAGAGCUUGUAGGCGGUUUGUCGCGUCUGCUGUGAAAAUCCGAGGCUCAACCUGCGGACUGCAUUGGAUACUGCGAUGCUAGAGGACUGGAGAGGAGAAUGGAAAUUCACGGUGGAGCAGUGAAAAUGCGUAGAUAUCGUGAGGAAGGCCAGUGGCGAAAGGCGAUUCUCUGGACAGUAUCUG
Molecule: ribosomal RNA, 222 nt
Filed under: uncultured bacterium
Lineage: Bacteria
Description: partial 16S ribosomal RNA
Rfam family: Bacterial small subunit ribosomal RNA
Source: RNAcentral